Molecule: non-coding RNA, 962 nt
Organism: Delphinapterus leucas (beluga whale)
Lineage: Eukaryota; Metazoa; Chordata; Mammalia; Artiodactyla; Monodontidae
Source: RefSeq, a predicted model, not a curated record
ACGACGGUGAAGUUGCACUGAGUAAGCCGCUCCUGUCCUUCACUCCUGAUCCUUGGACUCACACUUGCCAAUAAAGUACUCACAUGAGAUGAGGAACCCACACUGUCAUGUUGGCCAAGAGUGGCCCCAGAAAGCAGCCCUCAGGAUGGAAUUUUGGAACCGGACUCCUCACCAGUCAGAUGGCAACAACAACCCCAUUGCUAGUGAUAAGGGAAAUCUGGUGACCCCACAGCUGAGCCAUGCUCCAGAAAGUGUCUCCAACACCUGCUGAGUGACGCCCAACCAGGGAGAAGGCUGCUGGCCUUUGCAUCAUCGUCUCAGGUGCAAUGUUAGAGAACUGCCACUGAUUAUUUUGGCAAAUGCCCUGUUUUUAUAGCGCGAUCUCUGAGUCAGGUCAAAUAAAACCAAGACCUGAGAACGGAGCUUUCCAAAAGAGAUGUCAGACAAGUCACAUAAUGACAAUUGUCUGUGAAUGGGACUUUUUGAAGAGCUCCAAACCUAUUCUUCCCCUUCCAGUGGUUACUAAAUUGCUAAUUUUUGCAACAACCAUGGCUGUGAAACUGUUGUUUUUCAAGGCUACCUUGGAGUGGGGAGAGGGGAAUGGGGCUAGAGCAAGUUAAAACACCACAAAGCUCACUGUUCUUACUAAGAUUCAGCUGUUUUUAUUGAAUAGACACUUCUCUGAUUAUCACAAACCUUUCUUUGAUUAAUUUACAGAAUACCGAAAGAAGCUGAUUUUGACAAUUUUUGACAGUGUUCUCAUGCUUUUAUGAAGGAGUGGGUUUUCAGAGAUUCUUAGUCUUCCAUUCCAGAAGUGCUGCUAAUUCACUUACAUUAAAUGAAUUUAUUUUUAUAUAUAGAUAUUUCAGUCAUCUUUUUCACAUUAAUUACUUCUUUAUAUCUUCUUUACCUUUUUUUUGUAUCUUUAUUGGAGUAUAAUUGUUUUACAUUGUUGUGUUAGU